This is a long non-coding RNA of Gopherus flavomarginatus (Mexican gopher tortoise), 2299 nucleotides long. RefSeq lists it as uncharacterized. The transcript has 4 exons. The record is from RefSeq and is a predicted model, not a curated record. NCBI's taxonomy places the organism in Eukaryota, Metazoa, Chordata, Testudines, Testudinidae.
GCUGUUUGUUCAUUAAUGAUCUGGAGGAUGGCGUGGACUGUACCCUCAGCAAGUUUGCAGGUGACACUAAACUGGGCAGAGUGGUAGAUACGCUGGAGGGUAGGGAUAGGAUACAGAGGGAUCUAGACAAAUUAAGAGGAUUGGGCCAAAAGAAAUGUGAUGAGAUUCAACAAGGACAAGUGCAGAGACCUGCACUUAGGACAGAAGAAUCUCAUGAACUGCUACAGACUAGGGAUCGAGUGGCUAGGCAGCAGUUCUGCAGAAAAGGACCUAGGGGUUACAGUGGACGGGAAGCUGGAUAUGAGUCGACAGUGUGCCCUUGUUGCCAAGAAGGCUAACGUCAUUUUGGGCUGUAUAAGUAGGGGCAUUGCCAGCAGAUCAAGGGACGUGAUCAUUUUCCUCUGUUUGGCAUUGAUGAGGCCUCAUCUGGAGUACUGUGUCCAGUUUUGGGCCCCACACUUCAAGAAGGAUGUGGAAAAAUCGGAAAGAGUCUAGUGGAGGGCAAAAAAAUGAUUAGGGGGCUGGAGCACAUGACCUAUGAGGAGACGCUGAGGGAACUGGGAUUGUUUAGUCUGCAAAAGAGAAGAAUGAUGGGGGAUUUGAUAGCUGCUUUCAAUUACCUGAAAGGGGGUUCCAAAGAGGAUGGAUCUGGAGAGGUGGGGGGUGUUAGAAGGUCUGCAUGGCAGUCACCACCUCUUGCCAGCCUUCUCUUGGUCUCUGCUGCAGGCCUCCUGCCCCUGUCUUCCCUGCUUCUGGCCACUGAACUGGGGCCCUUCUCAUGGCACUCCUAUGCAAUGUUCUGGACCCAUCAGACACUGCUGAUGAAAGCACCGAGGGCCAUCUAGCUUGGUCUGCACCCCUACAUGUGAUCCAACUUUCCUUUGGGCUUAUCGUCCAGGGCAAGCAGCCCCCCCAGGUGCUGGAUCCAGGGAUGCAAUGUUUGAUGUAGGCUCGUUAAUAAACACACUGUUUGGAGGACGAGCGUGGUGUGUUCCUGGAAGCCACUCGGUGUUUGUAUCCUGUAGGCGCGACAACGUCAGAGAGUAAAUGUCAGGUUCCUGGGCAGGGAGAGCACUGGAUCCUGCUGCUACCACGUAUCUGGUAACUGAGGAGCCAGCAGCAUCUGGGGGUGUUUUUCUCCUGCCACUCCAGAAUGUGUUUGAAGAUGUCAGGCUGUGUCAGGUGCACACAGGAGGUGCCCUGCCCAGCAGUCAGGGACUGGGUAAGACUCAGUUCCUGGGGAGAUGGAAUCCUCUAGGCAUAGCGGUGUGUGUAUGGCACUUCACACAGUGGGGGUCACUCGGUGGCAGUGUACCGAAAACACACCACCAAGGCAGUGCCCUGCGUUACAAGAACAUUCUGUAGGUUGCUAAGUCGAGCACUUGGAAGUGCCAGAUUGACACAACUUUCAUUCUUCCCCCUUGUGUGUGCGACCUGGCUAUUGAAUGAGGCAGGGGUGCGAUGGGAAACCUGUGUGGGAUCAUGGAAUCAUAGACUGUACCUGAUGUGUGUGUCCAAAGGGCAGAACAAGGGCCGCACAAGCAACCAGAAGGUGUACAGCUGGCAUUUCCAAACUUCAAUAGUGGAACAGGAUUUUAUGAAACAAAGAAGAGGCACUUCACUAGCCCAAGGCUGUCCCCCUGGCUGAGUACCAAGGACCUGCUUCGAACAACAAAGCCUCAGGUCCAGGACUGAUGUAAGCGCAUGAGAAUCUCAUUGAAACCCCCUUCCAGAACCCCAGAAAAGGUUGAAAACGUGGCCCCUAAGGGCUCCACAAUCAAGGUGAAGACGAGGACCACCACAUUCAUUGCUGUUAAAAAUCUCAUGAUUGGUACAAUAAUGGAACAACCAGAUACUACUGAUGGCCCAUUAAGGGGACUCCACACUACAAAGGACUAUCGCAGGAAUCUAUGUACAAUGAAAACCUCUCAGCGAUAGCACAUCAACAAUGGACACAGCUUGAUUCACAUCCUAGCAAAUGAUCUAUAGCUCCUCCUAUAAAGGAGGGAAAACAACAUAAUCACUUGGCCUCCCACUCCUCCCUCACAACUCAACACCUGGAAACACCUCUGGAGGACAAAGACUGAAUGGGGGAGGUGGUCCCAGGCUGGAAAGGAGAAUCCCAGCCUGUGUAUUCAGGAACUAUACCAUCUACCAGGGUGAGACACUGCUUAAUUCAAAUCCUGUCUAGUUUCUAGAAUUCAGAUUGUGGUUUUAAUUACAUUUCUUAGGUAACUAACUUUGAUCUGUGCAUUUAUUACUUACAAUCACUUAAAAUCUAUCUGUGUGUAGUUAAUAA